This 654-nucleotide ribosomal RNA is filed under the name Bifidobacterium pullorum subsp. gallinarum. RNAcentral's name for it is "bacterial SSU rRNA". It matches the Rfam family "Bacterial small subunit ribosomal RNA", at positions 71 to 739 of the family's 1533-position model. The record is from RNAcentral. Lineage: Bacteria; Bacillati; Actinomycetota; Actinomycetes; Bifidobacteriales; Bifidobacteriaceae.
CCCUGGCGCUUGCGCCGGGGUGAGAGUGGCGAACGGGUGAGUAAUGCGUGACCAACCUGCCCCAUGCACCGGAAUAGCUCCUGGAAACGGGUGGUAAUGCCGGAUGCUCCAGAUGACCGCAUGGGAUUCUGGGAAAGCUUUUGCGGCAUGGGAUGGGGUCGCGUCCUAUCAGCUUGUUGGUGGGGUGAUGGCCCACCAAGGCUUCGACGGGUAGCCGGCCUGAGAGGGCGACCGGCCACAUUGGGACUGAGAUACGGCCCAGACUCCUACGGGAGGCAGCAGUGGGGAAUAUUGCGCAAUGGGCGAAAGCCUGACGCAGCGACGCCGCGUGCGGGAUGGAGGCCUUCGGGUUGUAAACCGCUUUUAUCGGGGAGCAAGCGAGAGUGAGUGUACCCGUUGAAUAAGCACCGGCUAACUACGUGCCAGCAGCCGCGGUAAUACGUAGGGUGCAAGCGUUAUCCGGAUUUAUUGGGCGUAAAGGGCUCGUAGGCGGUUCGUCGCGUCUGGUGUGAAAGUCCAUCGCUUAACGGUGGAUCUGCGCCGGGUACGGGCGGGCUGGAGUGCGGCAUGGGAGACUGGAAUUCCCGGUGUAACGGUGGAAUGUGUAGAUAUCGGGAAGAACACCAAUGGCGAAGGCAGGUCUCUGGGCCGUUA